UACGAAGGGGGCUAGCGUUGCUCGGAAUCACUGGGCGUAAAGGGUGCGUAGGCGGGUCUUUAAGUCAGGGGUGAAAUCCCAGAGCUCAACUCUGGAACUGCCUUUGAUACUGGCAAUCUCGAGUCCGGAAGAGGUGAGUGGAACUCCUAGUGUAGAGGUGGAAUUCGUAGAUAUUAGGAAGAACACCAGUGGCGAAAGGCGGCUCACUGGUCCGGAACUGACGCUGAGGUGCGAAAGCGUGGGGAGCAAACAGG
Molecule: ribosomal RNA, 254 nt
Filed under: uncultured bacterium
Lineage: Bacteria
Description: partial 16S ribosomal RNA
Rfam family: Bacterial small subunit ribosomal RNA
Source: RNAcentral